This is a long non-coding RNA of Panicum virgatum (switchgrass), 390 nucleotides long. RefSeq lists it as uncharacterized. Lineage: Eukaryota; Viridiplantae; Streptophyta; Magnoliopsida; Poales; Poaceae. The record is from RefSeq and is a predicted model, not a curated record. The transcript has 2 exons.
AAGCAGCACCUACUGCUGCCCAGGCUAGCACGUCGACAUGUCGAUGCCUACCCAUCACGGCUCCCUUGAAGCCACCUCUACCUCAUCGCCCAGUCACCCGUCUCUUCCAAGCAGCCCACAACAGGAAUAGGGGUGGUAAAAUGGGCGCCCUUGUGACUGAUAGCUCAACCUACAAAGCAGGCCAGCAACGGACCAAACGUGAAGGUCCUAAUAUCCACCGGGGAAUAAAACAGCGCUCUUGUGAACAAUCGUAAAUCCUAUGAGGCUGCUGCGCUUAGCUUGUAACAUGGAAAAGCAACUAUAUUGCAUUGUAAGCUUGCUUAACUUGAGAGAUGUUCUUAGCGUUGGUUUAUCAUUCUAACAUAAUUUCACGUUUGGUUAUCUUUGAUA